GUGGUCAUAGCUCAGUUGGCAGAGCGCCGGGGCGUGGACCCGGAAGUCGCGGGUUCGCGCCCCGUUGACCACCCCA
This 76-nucleotide transfer RNA is filed under the name Frigoribacterium sp. SL97. Its description in RNAcentral is "tRNA-His". It matches the Rfam family "tRNA". Rfam says of the family: Transfer RNA (tRNA) molecules are approximately 80 nucleotides in length. Their secondary structure includes four short double-helical elements and three loops (D, anti-codon, and T loops). Further hydrogen bonds mediate the characteristic L-shaped molecular structure. tRNAs have two regions of fundamental functional importance: the anti-codon, which is responsible for specific mRNA codon recognition, and the 3' end, to which the tRNAs corresponding amino acid is attached (by aminoacyl-tRNA synthetases). tRNAs cope with the degeneracy of the genetic code in two manners: having more than one tRNA (with a specific anti-codon) for a particular amino acid; and 'wobble' base-pairing, i.e. permitting non-standard base-pairing at the 3rd anti-codon position. Lineage: Bacteria; Bacillati; Actinomycetota; Actinomycetes; Micrococcales; Microbacteriaceae. The record is from RNAcentral.